AAAUUGAAGAGUUUGAUCAUGGCUCAGAUUGAACGCUGGCGGCAGGCCUAACACAUGCAAGUCGAACGGUAACAGGAAGAAGCUUGCUUCUUUGCUGACGAGUGGCGGACGGGUGAGUAAUGUCUGGGAAACUGCCUGAUGGAGGGGGAUAACUACUGGAAACGGUAGCUAAUACCGCAUAACGUCGCAAGACCAAAGAGGGGGACCUUCGGGCCUCUUGCCAUCGGAUGUGCCCAGAUGGGAUUAGCUAGUAGGUGGGGUAACGGCUCACCUAGGCGACGAUCCCUAGCUGGUCUGAGAGGAUGACCAGCCACACUGGAACUGAGACACGGUCCAGACUCCUACGGGAGGCAGCAGUGGGGAAUAUUGCACAAUGGGCGCAAGCCUGAUGCAGCCAUGCCGCGUGUAUGAAGAAGGCCUUCGGGUUGUAAAGUACUUUCAGCGGGGAGGAAGGGAGUAAAGUUAAUACCUUUGCUCAUUGACGUUACCCGCAGAAGAAGCACCGGCUAACUCCGUGCCAGCAGCCGCGGUAAUACGGAGGGUGCAAGCGUUAAUCGGAAUUACUGGGCGUAAAGCGCACGCAGGCGGUUUGUUAAGUCAGAUGUGAAAUCCCCGGGCUCAACCUGGGAACUGCAUCUGAUACUGGCAAGCUUGAGUCUCGUAGAGGGGGGUAGAAUUCCAGGUGUAGCGGUGAAAUGCGUAGAGAUCUGGAGGAAUACCGGUGGCGAAGGCGGCCCCCUGGACGAAGACUGACGCUCAGGUGCGAAAGCGUGGGGAGCAAACAGGAUUAGAUACCCCGGUAGUCCACGCCGUAAACGAUGUCGACUUGGAGGUUGUGCCCUUGAGGCGUGGCUUCCGGAGCUAACGCGUUAAGUCGACCGCCUGGGGAGUACGGCCGCAAGGUUAAAACUCAAAUGAAUUGACGGGGGCCCGCACAAGCGGUGGAGCAUGUGGUUUAAUUCGAUGCAACGCGAAGAACCUUACCUGGUCUUGACAUCCACAGAACUUUCCAGAGAUGGAUUGGUGCCUUCGGGAACUGUGAGACAGGUGCUGCAUGGCUGUCGUCAGCUCGUGUUGUGAAAUGUUGGGUUAAGUCCCGCAACGAGCGCAACCCUUAUCCUUUGUUGCCAGCGGUCCGGCCGGGAACUCAAAGGAGACUGCCAGUGAUAAACUGGAGGAAGGUGGGGAUGACGUCAAGUCAUCAUGGCCCUUACGACCAGGGCUACACACGUGCUACAAUGGCGCAUACAAAGAGAAGCGACCUCGCGAGAGCAAGCGGACCUCAUAAAGUGCGUCGUAGUCCGGAUUGGAGUCUGCAACUCGACUCCAUGAAGUCGGAAUCGCUAGUAAUCGUGGAUCAGAAUGCCACGGUGAAUACGUUCCCGGGCCUUGUACACACCGCCCGUCACACCAUGGGAGUGAGUUGCAAAAGAAGUAGGUAGCUUAACCUUCGGGAGGGCGCUUACCACUUUGUGAUUCAUGACUGGGGUGAAGUCGUAACAAGGUAACCGUAGGGGAACCUGCGGUUGGAUCACCUCCUUA
Molecule: ribosomal RNA, 1542 nt
Filed under: Escherichia coli
Lineage: Bacteria; Pseudomonadati; Pseudomonadota; Gammaproteobacteria; Enterobacterales; Enterobacteriaceae
Description: bacterial SSU rRNA
Rfam family: Bacterial small subunit ribosomal RNA
Source: RNAcentral